Molecule: long non-coding RNA, 1417 nt
Organism: Chrysemys picta bellii (western painted turtle)
Lineage: Eukaryota; Metazoa; Chordata; Testudines; Emydidae
Source: RefSeq, a predicted model, not a curated record
AUGUUGUCGGCACAUCCUCGUCGCGUUUGGCUCUUGCAGCUCCAAGACCUCCAUCUAUUAUUCCUCCCACAUCCCGUGAUCUCCUUCUUCCAUUCUCUGAAGGCUGGAAGCUGCAGAGUUCAGCUGUGUGGUGCGGAUGCCGUCUGAGUGUGGUGUCUCAUCUUGCACAUUUGGAGAAUCUCAAGAAGAGGGCUGGAAACCUGCCGAGAGCCUGUGCUUCUGAGACCCUCACACCCAUCUGCUAGAUCCAAGCAGUGGAGUGACUUCGGAUGCUUCUGUGCACCCGGUCUCCAGAAACUUUGGGGGCUUGCUCAGCACUCCUGUGCCCCAGGGAUUCCUUGACCCGUAGAACAUUAAGAAGGCGAAUGACACGAGGCUAUACACCUAUGUAGCUGUCUCCCUUCGCCAUCACAGUUUGUAAAGGAAGCUUCCGCCUUUGACAGUAGCAAAGGGAAGCCUCCGAUGAUUCUCUGUGACCUCAGAGGCGAAAGCACUCAAGUUGCCCUUGAAGACAAAAAGAGAAAGUCUUGUCUGAGGUGAAGUCAGUAUCUAUCCAAUUUUCAGCUGCCGUCACAUCGAAAUGAGAAAUCUGAGGCACAGCCAGGCACAAAUGGCUGAUAACAGACUUUCAGGUGAACCUCUUCACUUAUCACUUCGGGGGUCACCUCUGUUUCUAAAGACUUGUUUUCCUUUAAAAAAAGAUUGCUUAGGACAUUUAACGGUGUGGCGUUGUGAUAACAGAGCCCAGCAAGGCUUUCGUUUGCUGCCUGGGCUUCUGCAGAGAUACAGAGGCUCCUAAUGCCGCAACCCCAGAAUUUGUUUCUAAAAUUACCUCAUGAACUGAAUCACCAAAAGUUGAAAAAUAUAAAAUUCUCUCUGAGGGGUUUUUCCUGUCCUUCCCCUUGUGUGGGCAUGCCAGUCUGGCUCUGCCAGACAGGAGGAGAGGUGGCAUACAGAGAUUUGGAUGGUCCCAACAGGGUAAGCAAAUGGCGAAUGGGUCCUUGUACUAACGGAUUCUCCUCGCCAAAAAUCUAGGCUGAGCUGGGCCACAGCUGCUACUGAGCUCUGGAGUCUGCAGCUGCCGCAGCCAGCAGUUGCUUUGGGGGAAAACUCAGAGCGGCUGCUCCAUCCUUGGCUCUGGGUCUGGGGUCAGGGGCCAUCCACCUCCACCCCACCCUUCCCCCGUUGCUCCCCCACACAGCCCAUUUGGGAUGAGACUGUUGUCAAGAGGGCCAGAAGCAGAGAGGGGAAAGGGGGAAAAGCGUGAUGAAAUGGUUGUGAGGUAAUUUCUUUUGAAACAGGGCACUUGGCACAUACAGAGCCAGGCGCACAGACGGGCGCACAGAUUUGUUUAGCAAACAAUAACCUGUGUUUUGUGCAUGAAUAAAUAAUUAAUCUUAUUUAAAAGAAGAAAAAA